UUACUACUCCCUUCGUCCGAAAAUUCUUGUCUUAGAUUUGCCAUCACACUAAAAUGUGACUUGAUACAUCCGUAUUUAGGCAAAUCUAAGACAAGAAUUUUGGGACGGAGGGAGUAUGAU
Non-coding RNA from Triticum aestivum (bread wheat), 120 nucleotides. NCBI's taxonomy places the organism in Eukaryota, Viridiplantae, Streptophyta, Magnoliopsida, Poales, Poaceae. The record is from Rfam.